UACGUAGGUGGCAAGCGUUGUCCGGAUUUAUUGGGCGUAAAGCGAGCGCAGGCGGUUUCUUAAGUCUGAUGUGAAAGCCUUCGGCUCAACCGAAGAAGUGCAUCGGAAACUGGGAAACUUGAGUGCGGAAGAGGACAGUGGAACUCCAUGUGUAGCGGUGAAAUGCGUAGAUAUAUGGAAGAACACCAGUGGCGAAGGCGGCUGUCUGGUCUGUAACUGACGCUGAGGCUCGAAAGCAUGGGUAGCAAACAGG
Molecule: ribosomal RNA, 253 nt
Filed under: uncultured prokaryote
Description: partial 16S ribosomal RNA
Rfam family: Bacterial small subunit ribosomal RNA
Source: RNAcentral